UGGGGAAUAUUGCGCAAUGGGGGAAACCCUGACGCAGCGACGCCGCGUGAGCGAAGAAGGCCUUCGGGUUGUAAAGCUCUGUUGUAAGGGAAGAAUGGCACAGGGAGUAAUAUGCCCUGUGUGUGACGGUACCUUACGAGGAAGCCCCGGCUAACUACGUGCCAGCAGCCGCGGUAAGACGUAGGGGGCGAGCGUUGUCCGGAAUUACUGGGCGUAAAGAGCACGUAGGCGGAUAUUUAAGUCAGGUGUGAAAGACCGCAGCUCAACUGCGGGGUUGCACCUGAAACUGGGUAUCUUGAGGGCAGGAGAGGGCAGUGGAAUUCCUGGUGUAGCGGUGAAAUGCGUAGAAAUCAGGAGGAACACCGGUGGCGAAGGCGGCUGUCUGGACUGACCCUGACGCUGAGGUGCGAAAGCGUGGGUAGCAAACAGG
Molecule: ribosomal RNA, 430 nt
Filed under: uncultured bacterium
Lineage: Bacteria
Description: bacterial SSU rRNA
Rfam family: Bacterial small subunit ribosomal RNA
Source: RNAcentral